This is a long non-coding RNA of Cucurbita maxima (winter squash), 350 nucleotides long. RefSeq lists it as uncharacterized. The record is from RefSeq and is a predicted model, not a curated record. The transcript is spliced from 2 exons. Lineage: Eukaryota; Viridiplantae; Streptophyta; Magnoliopsida; Cucurbitales; Cucurbitaceae.
UCAAUUUUGUUUAUCAUUGAUUUAAUUUCUAAGAUCGAGAUGACCAAGUCUCUAUUCUUCCUUGUUCUUCUUUUCUCAGCUGCAUUGAUGGUUCCUCGAGCAGCCCAUUCAGCAGAUUGUGAGGAGAAGUUGUAUGACGGAUGCUGGCCACAAGACUGUCAGAUGAGGUGUCUAGACAAGCAUCCUGAAUCAACAUCUCACUGUGUGGCAGCCACUACACUUCCUUUUACUCGUUCUUGUUAUUGCUUCUUCCCUUGCCCUUGAAAUCGAGUGCUUUUAAUCAUAUCAUAUGAUGAAUGAAAUAAAAUAGUUGGGUGACGUUUUCGUCAUUCAACACACAGUUUAAGAUA